ACGGCUCAGUAACACGUGGAUAACCUGCCCUUGGGUCCGGCAUAACCCCGGGAAACUGGGGAUAAUUCCGGAUAACGCAUAUAUGCUGGAAUGCUUUAUGCGUAAAAUGGAUUCGUCUGCCCAAGGAUGGGUCUGCGGCCUAUCAGGUAGUAGUGGGUGUAAUGUACCUACUAGCCAGCGACGGGUACGGGUUGUGAGAGCAAGAGCCCGGAGAUGGAUUCUGAGACAUGAAUCCAGGCCCUACGGGGCGCAGCAGGCGCGAAAACUUUACAAUGCGGGAAACCGUGAUAAGGGGACACCGAGUGUCAGCAUCAUAUGCUGGCUGUCCAGGUGUGUAAAAUACACCUGUUAGCAAGGGCCGGGCAAGACCGGUGCCAGCCGCCGCGGUAACACCGGCGGCCCGAGUGGUGAUCGUGAUUAUUGGGUCUAAAGGGUCCGUAGCCGGUUUGGUCAGUCCUCCGGGUAAUCUGAUAGCUCAACUAUUAGGCUAUCGGGGGAUACUGCCAGACUUGGAACCGGGAGAGGUAAGAGGUACUACAGGGGUAGGAGUGAAAUCUUGUAAUCCCUGUGGGACCACCUGUGGCGAAGGCGUCUUACCAGAACGGGUUCGACGGUGAGGGACGAAAGCUGGGGGCACGAACCGGAUUAGAUACCCGGGUAGUCCCAGCCGUAAACGAUGCUCGCUAGGUGUCAGGCAUGGCGCGACCGUGUCUGGUGCCGCAGGGAAGCCGUGAAGCGAGCCACCUGGGAAGUACGGCCGCAAGGCUGAAACUUAAAGGAAUUGGCGGGGGAGCAC
Molecule: ribosomal RNA, 796 nt
Filed under: uncultured archaeon
Lineage: Archaea
Description: bacterial SSU rRNA
Rfam family: Archaeal small subunit ribosomal RNA
Source: RNAcentral